RNAcentral lists this ribosomal RNA (774 nucleotides) under uncultured Neocallimastigales. RNAcentral describes it as "partial large subunit ribosomal RNA". It matches the Rfam family "Eukaryotic large subunit ribosomal RNA", at positions 22 to 635 of the family's 3401-position model. The record is from RNAcentral. Lineage: Eukaryota; Fungi; Neocallimastigomycota; Neocallimastigomycetes; Neocallimastigales.
GUACACGCUGUGACUAGCAUAUCAAUAAGCGGAGGAAAAGAAACUAACAAGGAUUCCCCUAGUAACGGCGAGUGAAGCGGGAAGAGCUCAAAUUUGAAAUCUUAAAGGGUUUCCCUUUACGAAUUGUAGUUUAAAGAAGUGUUUUCUGUUGAGGUUUUGGUAAAAGUUCUUUGGAAUAGGACAUCAUAGAGGGUGAGAAUCCCGUAUUUGACCUUUACUUUCAACUUUGUGAUACACUUUCAAAGAGUCGGAUUGUUUGGGAAUGCAGUCCAAAAUGGGUGGUAAAUUUCAUCUAAAGCUAAAUAUUGGCGAGAGACCGAUAGCGAACAAGUACCGUGAGGGAAAGAUGAAAAGAACUUUGAAAAGAGAGUUAAACAGUACGUGAAAUUGUCAAAAGGGAAGCGUUUGACACCAGUGUUGUUUUUCUGAAAAUCAAUUAAAGAACUGUUUAUGCUAAGCUGUUUAGACUUUAUCAGCUAUCUGUUUAGUUUUGAGCUUUUCUUUAAUGCACUUUUCAGUUAACAAGUCAACAUCAAUUUCCUUUGCUGUAAAAAAGCUUGAGGAAGGUGGCUUGAGAUUCGUCUUAAGUGUUUAUAGCCUCUUGCCUAUGCAGUCGGAGAGAUUGAGGUCUGCAGCGUAGAUCCUUCGGGGCUAAAUGCAUUUGUGCUAAGUUAUAGCAUUUUAUAGACAACUUGUUGACUAUGAUUUGUCUUGUAGCUUACUCGCUUAUGUUAUUUUACCUACGCUUAGGAUGUUGAAGAUGUAGCACAUCAU